UUCAAAAAUGGGCGCAUAUGUGACGAAAUACGGCCCUGCUUAGAAUCCAUUCACAGAAUGAAUGAACCGCCUCUUCGUUCUGUUCAUGUAGUCACUCAGUAGUGUCAUGGAGGUAACAUGGCCGAAGAGACGCGCCUAGUUCGCGUUGAAGAAAGAUUAAAGAUUAAAAUCGGUGAAGUAAAAAAUCUACAAGGUAGAAGUCAUGGAUCUCCCGGUGCAAGAGAUGUGUAUUGUACAUUGUCUCUCGAUCAAGAAGAAAUAUUUAGAACAGCAACAAUGGAAAGAACUCUCAGCCCAUUUUUUGGAGAAGAAUUUCAAUUUGAAGUACCUAGGAAAUUUCGUUAUCUUGGCAUUUAUGUUUAUGAUCGGGAUAGGCAUUUAAAGCAAGAUAAAAUUUUGGGCAAAGUGGCAAUAAAGAGGGAAGAUUUAGCAAAAUAUCAUAAUAAGGAGCAUUGGUUUCCUUUGGGACCGGUUGAUGCUGAUUCCGAAGUACAAGGUAAAGCACACCUGGAACUUGCUCUACAACCUCAAAGUGGACAUGUUCAGUCUAAACUUACAGUAAGGGUUAUAGAAUGUAAUGACUUAACUCUUAAAAAUGGUGGCUGUGAUCCAUUCGCAACUGUGACAGUCAUUUAUAGUAAUGGUAAACAAAUAUUAAAGCGCACAAAAAUAAAAAAAAAAACAGUAUCUCCAUAUUUUAAUGAAACAUUCACCUUUGAGCCAGAAAUAACAGAAUCCAAAGAGAAGGAUAUUUCUCAAUGCCCCCUAGAACAUGGAGAAGUGGGUGAAGUAGUUGUAGGUUUAUGGCAUGCAUCCCCUGGUAUGGGAGAACAACCAGCUUUUCUUGGUGAAGUUAGGAUUACUUUAAGAGGCCUACAAAAACAACCAACCAAUGCAACAACUGCAUGGUACUUUCUUCAGCCUAGAGCAACAAAACAUCGUCCAAGUAAAAUUUCCAACAGUUCUACUCCAGCUGGUGUAUUACCAGAUUUAGGAUCAUUGCGAUUAAAAAUUCAUUAUACUGCUGAUCAUGUUUUUCCAUCAGCAAUGUAUGAUAAACUUAGAAAUUUGUUAUUACAAAGUGUUAAUGUUCAUCCAAUAACUUCUUCUGCUGUGUAUAUUUUGGGAGAAAUUGUAGCAAGUAAAAUGGAAGCUGCACAACCAUUAGUUAGAGUGUUAGUACAUUAUGGACAGUUGGUUUCUGUAAUGAAAGCUUUAGCUAGUCAUGAAAUUUCUAAAUUAACGGAUCCAACAACAAUAUUUCGCGGUAACACUUUAGUAAGUAAAAUGAUGGAUGAAGGCAUGAGAUUAGCAGGUCUACAUUAUUUACAUAGUACACUGAGACCAGCUAUGGAACAAGUUUUCCUAGAAAAGAAACCGUGUGAAAUAGAUCCAACAAGAGUAAAGGAUGCAAACACGAUUCAAACUAAUUUAGCAAAUCUAAAGGAAUAUGUGGAAAGAGUGUUUACUGCUAUUACAACAUCGGGUGUGCGAUGUCCACCUUUAAUGUGUGAAAUGUUCUGGUGCUUAAGAGAACUUGCAGCAACACAUUUUCCAAAAAACAAAGAAGUAAGAUAUUCAGUUAUUAGUGGAUUUAUUUUUCUACGAUUUUUUGCUCCUGCAAUAUUGGGUCCAAGACUGUUUGACAUUACUACUGAGCAAAUUGAUUCUCAGACUAAUAGAACGUUAACAUUAAUUUCAAAAACAAUUCAGAGUCUAGGAAACUUAGUAAGUUGUAGAGGCGGCGCAGGCAGUGUUUGUAAAGAAGAAUAUAUGGAAUGUGUAUAUAGGGAAUUUUAUACGGAAAGGCAUAUUCAAGCAGUAAAACAAUUUCUGGAACUGAUUUCAACUAGUAGCAAUAGUGGUAUUAUAAAACAACGACCAAAUACUCAGCAAGAACAGCCAAUUAUCCUAAAAGAGGGAACAUAUUUCCUCUUCAUGCACACUUCUGAUUGUAAUAAGAGAGUAAUGAUAAAAAGAGCACAAGGUAGAAAACGAUUUGGACGUAAAAAUUUCAAGCAGCGGUACUUUAGGCUCACUACGCAAAAUCUUACUUAUUCCAAGUCAAAAGGUAAAGAACCUUUAUGUAAAAUUCCACUUGAAGACAUUUUAGCUGUGGAGAGACUUCAAGAAGAUUCUUUCAAAAUGAAAAAUAUGUUUCAAAUUAUUCAGUCACAACGAGCAUUAUAUGUUCAAGCCAGUAACUGCGUAGAAGAAAAAGAAUGGAUUGAUAUUCUGACAAAAAUUUGUCAUACAAACAGUAAUCGUUUAGAAAAAUACCAUCCAAGUGCAUAUAUCAAUGGCCAUUGGCUUUGUUGCAAAGCAGUGGCCGAAGUAGCACCAGGAUGUAGUGAAGUGUCGCCAGCUGUAGAAGCUGGUUUACGUAUGGUUCUAGAUCCAGCUAGAGAUUUGCAACGAAUUCAUUCAUUGAUAUUCACAAAUAUGCCAAGACUUGAAACGCUAAUGAGUGCAUGUGAGUGUCAAGCUGUUUAUGGAGCUAACGAUAUGUGUAUGAUACCGGGUGGUGGAUCUCCUAUAGAAGAUGUGCCUUCAUGUUUUAAAACUUUAACUGCGUUAAGAGAAGCUGCAUAUGCUUUGCAGCAUGAACAUAGAGCCUAUUUUAGAAGACUUGCACGUGACACUAAGUAUGGAAGCAAGCAAGCUCCAAUUGGGGACGAUAACUACCUUCACUUAGCUGCAAGAGCUGGUUUUGAAAAUCAGUUAACAAAACGCGUGUAUGAAACAGACAGUUUAAAUCAACAUUAUGUAGAAUCCGAUCAUUGUUACGAUAGCGGAUUUUCUAGAAAAAUAGAAGAUCAGCAGUACGAUGAAACAUUUAUAAAAUGUUUAGAUUCUGAAUCAAUACAUCGUAGGUACAGAUACACUUUCUGGUGAAGGAUGUCCGGGGAUGUACAAACAAGAAAACGAAAAGAGAAGAAACGUAAAAAGGAUGAGGAAGACAAUGUCAUACCCUCCACCCCUGCGCCAACUGUCUCCGAAAAUAUAACAGACAAUAUAACUUUGCACAUUUAUAAAGA
Molecule: unclassified non-coding RNA, 3038 nt
Filed under: Megachile rotundata (alfalfa leafcutting bee)
Lineage: Eukaryota; Metazoa; Arthropoda; Insecta; Hymenoptera; Megachilidae
Description: gTPase-activating protein, transcript variant X1
Source: RNAcentral